RNAcentral lists this ribosomal RNA (492 nucleotides) under uncultured bacterium. Its description in RNAcentral is "partial 16S ribosomal RNA". It matches the Rfam family "Bacterial small subunit ribosomal RNA", at positions 29 to 507 of the family's 1533-position model. The record is from RNAcentral.
AGUGAACGCUGGCGGUAGGCCUAACACAUGCAAGUCGAACGGCAGCACAGUAAGAGCUUGCUCUUACGGGUGGCGAGUGGCGGACGGGUGAGGAAUACAUCGGAAUCUACUUUUUCGUGGGGGAUAACGUAGGGAAACUUACGCUAAUACCGCAUACGACCUACGGGUGAAAGCAGGGGAUCUUCGGACCUUGCGCGAUUGAAUGAGCCGAUGUCGGAUUAGCUAGUUGGCGGGGUAAAGGCCCACCAAGGCGACGAUCCGUAGCUGGUCUGAGAGGAUGGUCAGCCACACUGGAACGGAGACACGGUCCAGACUCCUACGGGAGGCAGCAGUGGGGAAUAUUGGACAAAGGGCGCAAGCCUGAUCCAGCCAUACCGCGUGGGUGAAGAAGGCCUUCGGGUUGUAAAGCCCUUUUGUGGGGAAAGAAAAGCAGCAGGUUAAUACCCCGCUGUUCUGACGGUACCCAAAGAAUAAGCACCGGCUAACUUCGUG